This 255-nucleotide ribosomal RNA is filed under the name uncultured bacterium. RNAcentral's name for it is "partial 16S ribosomal RNA". It matches the Rfam family "Bacterial small subunit ribosomal RNA", at positions 523 to 776 of the family's 1533-position model. The record is from RNAcentral.
GUACGGGGGGGGGCAAGCGUUGUUCGGAAUUACUGGGCGUAAAGGGCUUGUAGGUGGCCAACUAAGUCAGACGUGAAAUCCCUCAGCUUAACUGGGGAACUGCUUCUGAUACUGGAUGGCUUGAGUUUGGGAGAGGGAUGCGGAAUUCCAGGUGUAGCGGUGAAAUGCGUAGAUAUCUGGAGGAACACCGGUGGCGAAGGCGGCAUCCUGGACCAACACUGACACUGAAAAGCGAAAGCCAGGGGAGCAAACGGG